UUUUUCUUUUGUUUUUUCUUUUAAAAGAAUCAGCUCAAAAGUGGUUCACCGUUAUGGCCGCUAUGAUAGCCACUACGGCUGACACACCUAUGAAUCUCAAUCACACUGCAAAAGCGGGAGUAACACAUGGUGCUUACCGCCACAACCGUUACGUAAUGGCCGCAACCGUUAUGUAACACCGCAUUUUGAAGCAUUGGGUACAUGUAAGAAUAUCAUGUAGUUUAUCUAAACUGCUAUGCGUUGCCUUAACUUUUUGGGGGCAUAAUAAAGUUUUGCCAAAUUAAAAAUAUGAAAAGUUGCUUUUAUUGAGGAAUUUAAAGUAAAACUUAGUUGAAAACAUGCCUCUUGUUUCUAGAUACCAGCACAAUGUUUCAAAAUGCAGUGUUACGUAUCGGUUGCGGUGGUAGGCACCACGCGUUACCCCUGCUUUUGCGGUGUGAUUGAGAUUUAUAGGUGUGUCGGUCGUAGCCAUUGUCGUAGUGGCUGUAACGAUGCUGUAACGGCCUGUUACGCACCGUUACACACUGUAUUGAGCUGAUUCUUUUCAAAAAAAACAAAAGAAAAAGCUGAAAAUAUAUAUAUUCAACAGAUUUUGUACAUACCUUAAUGGUUGAACAUAUUUUGUCUUGAGUUCUUUUCAGCUCGUGAACCACUUUGAAGUGACAUUCCAUCAUAUUCAGAAUAGAUCCACAACCUUCAGUCUUUAAAAUCUCUCCAAUUGAGAUUCAGAUCCACAAAUUUUCAACCAUCUUAAACUGAGUUUCUGACAAAAAAAUAAGGAAGAAUGGUUCAUGGGAAGAGGGAUACAGAGAGAAAAGGAAAUACAGAGGAGUGAGAGAUAGAGAGAGAAGAGGGAAGGGAUGAAGAACCUGUGUUGAAGAUGAAGGAGAUGAAUAAUAUUGGCUGCCUCUGUAAGGAGAUGAAGAACUUGUGUUAAACCUGUGACUUUGUGCAAGCCUGAUGCUGAAACUUACAAUGCCCUCAUCAAUGCACAUGGUUGAGCUGGUCAAUGGCAUUGGGCAGUGAAUAUUAUGGAAGAUACGCUUCGGGCAUCUUUUCUCCAGUCUCUGAGGCCAUCAUUCUACAGAAUACAUCUGUGACCUUAGCUUAUUUAAGUUAUUGUGCAGAUUCCUCCUAGUCGAUCAACACAUAACAACUUGAUCAAUGCAUGUGGAUCUAGUGGAAAAUGGAGAGAAGCUCUGCAAGUUUGCAGGAAGAUGACAGUGAAUGGAGUUGGGCCUGAUCUAGUGAGACACAAUAUUGUUCUGUCUGCUUACAAAAGUGGAGCUCAGUAUUUGAAAGCCCUGUCCUAUUUUGAACUAAUGAAAGGGACAAGUAUCCGUCCCGACACCACUACCCUUAAUAUUGUGAUACAUUGCCUGAUAAAGCUUGGACAUUAUGGGAAAGCUAAUUGAUAUUUUCAAUUCAAUGAGG
Non-coding RNA from Camellia sinensis, 1434 nucleotides. Lineage: Eukaryota; Viridiplantae; Streptophyta; Magnoliopsida; Ericales; Theaceae. The record is from RefSeq and is a predicted model, not a curated record.